GCGGCGCGCCUAACACAUGCAAGUCGAACGAUCGAGAGAGAGCUUGCUUUCUCGAGCGAGUGGCGAACGGGUGAGUAACGCGUGAGGAACCUGCCUCAAAGAGGGGGACAACAGUUGGAAACGACUGCUAAUACCGCAUAAGCCCACGGCUCGGCAUCGAGCAGAGGGAAAAGGAGCAAUCCGCUUUGAGAUGGCCUCGCGUCCGAUUAGCUAGUUGGUGAGGUAACGGCCCACCAAGGCGACGAUCGGUAGCCGGACUGAGAGGUUGAACGGCCACAUUGGGACUGAGACACGGCCCAGACUCCUACGGGAGGCAGCAGUGGGGAAUAUUGCACAAUGGGGGAAACCCUGAUGCAGCGACGCCGCGUGGAGGAAGAAGGUCUUCGGAUUGUAAACUCCUGUUGUUGGGGAAGAUAAUGACGGUACCCAACAAGGAAGUGACGGCUAACUACGUGCCAGCAGCCGCGGUAAAACGUAGGUCACAAGCGUUGUCCGGAAUUACUGGGUGUAAAGGGAGCGCAGGCGGGAAGACAAGUUGGAAGUGAAAUCUAUGGGCUCAACCCAUAAACUGCUUUCAAAACUGUUUUUCUUGAGUAGUGCAGAGGUAGGCGGAAUUCCCGGUGUAGCGGUGGAAUGCGUAGAUAUCGGGAGGAACACCAGUGGCGAAGGCGGCCUACUGGGCACCAACUGACGCUGAGGCUCGAAAGUGUGGGUAGCAAACAGGAUUAGAUACCCUGGUAGUCCACACCGUAAACGAUGAUUACUAGGUGUUGGAGGAUUGACCCCUUCAGUGCCGCAGUUAACACAAUAAGUAAUCCACCUGGGGAGUACGACCGCAAGGUUGAAACUCAAAGGAAUUGACGGGGGCCCGCACAAGCAGUGGAGUAUGUGGUUUAAUUCGACGCAACGCGAAGAACCUUACCAAGUCUUGACAUCCCUUGACAGACAUAGAAAUAUGUAAUCUCUUCGGAGCAAGGAGACAGGUGGUGCAUGGUUGUCGUCAGCUCGUGUCGUGAGAUGUUGGGUUAAGUCCCGCAACGAGCGCAACCCUUAUGGUCAGUUACUACGCAAGAGGACUCUGGCCAGACUGCCGUUGACAAAACGGAGGAAGGUGGGGAUGACGUCAAAUCAUCAUGCCCUUUAUGACUUGGGCUACACACGUACUACAAUGGCGUUAAACAAAGAGAAGCAAGACCGCGAGGUGGAGCAAAACUCAGAAACAACGUCCCAGUUCGGACUGCAGGCUGCAACUCGCCUGCACGAAGUCGGAAUUGCUAGUAAUCGUGGAUCAGCAUGCCACGGUGAAUACGUUCCCGGGCC
RNAcentral lists this ribosomal RNA (1320 nucleotides) under uncultured bacterium. Its description in RNAcentral is "bacterial SSU rRNA". It matches the Rfam family "Bacterial small subunit ribosomal RNA", at positions 39 to 1380 of the family's 1533-position model. The record is from RNAcentral.